GAUGAACGCUGGCGGCGUGCCUAAUACAUGCAAGUCGAGCGAGCAGAUAAGGAGCUUGCUCCUUUGAAGUUAGCGGCGGACGGGUGAGUAACACGUGGGUAACCUACCUAUAAGACUGGGAUAACUUCGGGAAACCGGAGCUAAUACCGGAUAACAUUUAGAACCGCAUGGUUCUAAAGUGAAAGAUGGUUUUGCUAUCACUUAUAGAUGGACCCGCGCCGUAUUAGCUAGUUGGUAAGGUAACGGCUUACCAAGGCGACGAUACGUAGCCGACCUGAGAGGGUGAUCGGCCACACUGGAACUGAGACACGGUCCAGACUCUUACGGGAGGCAGCAGUAGGGAAUCUUCCGCAAUGGGCGAAAGCCUGACGGAGCAACGCCGCGUGAGUGAUGAAGGGUUUCGGCUCGUAAAACUCUGUUAUUAGGGAAGAACAAAUGUGUAAGUAACUGUGCACAUCUUGACGGUACCUAAUCAGAAAGCCACGGCUAACUACGUGCCAGCAGCCGCGGUAAUACGUAGGUGGCAAGCGUUAUCCGGAAUUAUUGGGCGUAAAGCGCGCGUAGGCGGUUUCUUAAGUCUGAUGUGAAAGCCCACGGCUCAACCGUGGAGGGUCAUUGGAAACUGGGAAACUUGAGUGCAGAAGAGGAAAGUGGAAUUCCAUGUGUAGCGGUGAAAUGCGCAGAGAUAUGGAGGAACACCAGUGGCGAAGGCGACUUUCUGGUCUGUACUGACGCUGAUGUGCGAAAGCGUGGGGAUCAAACAGGAUUAGAUACCCUGGUAGUCCACGCCGUAAACGAUGAGUGCUAAGUGUUAGGGGGUUUCCGCCCCUUAGUGCUGCAGCUAACGCAUUAAGCACUCCGCCUGGGGAGUACGACCGCAAGGUUGAAGCUCAAAGGAAUUGACGGGGACCCGCACAAGCGGUGGAGCAUGUGGUUUAAUUCGAAGCAACGCGAAGAACCUUACCAAAUCUUGACAUCCUUUGAAAACUCUAGAGAUAGAGCCUUCCCCUUCGGGGGACAAAGUGACAGGUGGUGCAUGGUUGUCGUCAGCUCGUGUCGUGAGAUGUUGGGUUAAGUCCCGCAACGAGCGCAACCCUUAAGCUUAGUUGCCAUCAUUAAGUUGGGCACUCUAGGUUGACUGCCGGUGACAAACCGGAGGAAGGUGGGGAUGACGUCAAAUCAUCAUGCCCCUUAUGAUUUGGGCUACACACGUGCUACAAUGGGCAAUACAAAGGGCAGCUAAACCGCGAGGUCAUGCAAAUCCCAUAAAGUUGUUCUCAGUUCGGAUUGUAGUCUGCAACUCGACUACAUGAAGCUGGAAUCGCUAGUAAUCGUAGAUCAGCAUGCUACGGUGAAUACGUUCCCGGGUCU
This 1371-nucleotide ribosomal RNA is filed under the name uncultured bacterium. RNAcentral's name for it is "bacterial SSU rRNA". It matches the Rfam family "Bacterial small subunit ribosomal RNA", at positions 28 to 1381 of the family's 1533-position model. The record is from RNAcentral.